UGUUGUUAAAGAAGAACGUGGGUGAGAGUAACUGUUCACCCAGUGACGGUAUUUAACCAGAAAGCCACGGCUAACUACGUGCCAGCAGCCGCGGUAAUACGUAGGUGGCAAGCGUUAUCCGGAUUUAUUGGGCGUAAAGCGAGCGCAGGCGGUCUUUUAAGUCUAAUGUGAAAGCCUUCGGCUCAACCGAAGAAGUGCAUUGGAAACUGGGAGACUUGAGUGCAGAAGAGGACAGUGGAACUCCAUGUGUAGCGGUGAAAUGCGUAGAUAUAUGGAAGAACACCAGUGGCGAAGGCGGCUGUCUGGUCUGUAACUGACGCUGAGGCUCGAAAGCAUGGGUAGCGAACAGGAUUAGAUACCCUGGUAGUCCAUGCCGUAAACGAUGAUUACUAAGUGUUGGAGGGUUUCCGCCCUUCAGUGCUGCAGCUAACGCAUUAAGUAAUCCGCCUGGGGAGUACGACCGCAAGGUUGAAACUCAAAAGAAUUGACGGGGGCCCGCACAAGCGGUGGAGCAUGUGGUUUAAUUCGAAGCUACGCGAAGAACCUUACCAGGUCUUGACAUCUUCUGCCAACCUAAGAGAUUAGGCGUUCCCUUCGGGGACAGAAUGACAGGUGGUGCAUGGUUGUCGUCAGCUCGUGUCGUGAGAUGUUGGGUUAAGUCCCGCAACGAGCGCAACCCUUAUUACUAGUUGCCAGCAUUCAGUUGGGCACUCUAGUGAGACUGCCGGUGACAAACCGGAGGAAGGUGGGGACGACGUCAAAUCAUCAUGCCCCUUAUGACCUGGGCUACACACGUGCUACAAUGGAUGGUACAACGAGUCGCGAAACCGCGAGGUUUAGCUAAUCUCUUAAAACCAUUCUCAGUUCGGACUGUAGGCUGCAACUCGCCUACACGAAGUCGGAAUCGCUAGUAAUCGCGGAUCAGCAUGCCGCGGUGAAUACGUUCCCGGGCCUUGUACACACCGCCCGUCACACCAUGAGAGUUUGUAACACCCAAAGCCGGUGGGGUAAC
This 1012-nucleotide ribosomal RNA is filed under the name Pediococcus acidilactici. Its description in RNAcentral is "bacterial SSU rRNA". It matches the Rfam family "Bacterial small subunit ribosomal RNA", at positions 434 to 1439 of the family's 1533-position model. The record is from RNAcentral. Lineage: Bacteria; Bacillati; Bacillota; Bacilli; Lactobacillales; Lactobacillaceae.